GGCCCUCUGGCGCAAUUGGUAGCGCGUUCGACUCCAGAUCGAAAGGUUAUCUGUUCAAAUCAGGUGGGGGUCA
This 73-nucleotide transfer RNA is filed under the name Colletotrichum falcatum. Its description in RNAcentral is "tRNA-Trp". It matches the Rfam family "tRNA". From Rfam's summary of the family: Transfer RNA (tRNA) molecules are approximately 80 nucleotides in length. The record is from RNAcentral. Lineage: Eukaryota; Fungi; Ascomycota; Sordariomycetes; Glomerellales; Glomerellaceae.